RNAcentral lists this ribosomal RNA (1349 nucleotides) under metagenome. Its description in RNAcentral is "bacterial LSU rRNA". It matches the Rfam family "Bacterial large subunit ribosomal RNA", at positions 1564 to 2925 of the family's 2925-position model. The record is from RNAcentral.
UGAGUGCGAGCUGCUACGGCAGCGAAGUUGGUGACGUCAAGCUUCCAAGAAAAGCCCUAUACCCGUUAAGGCAUCAUGGCCUGUACCCGAAACCGACACAGGUGGGGUGGUAGAGAAUACCGAGGGGCGCAAGGUAACUCUCUCUAAGGAACUCGGCAAAAUGGCCCCGUAACUUCGGGAGAAGGGGUGCCACCGCAAGGUGGUCGCAGUGAAGAGGCCCAGGCGACUGUUUACCAAAAACACAGGUCUCCGCUAAGUCGCAAGACGAUGUAUGGGGGCUGACGCCUGCCCAGUGCCGGAAGGUUAAGGAAGCUGGUCAGCGCAAGCGAAGCUGGCGACUGAAGCCCCGGUGAACGGCGGCCGUAACAAUAACGGUCCUAAGGUAGCGAAAUUCCUUGUCGGGUAAGUUCCGACCCGCACGAAAGGCGUAACGAUCUGGGCGCUGUCUCGGAGAGAGGCUCGGCGAAAUAGAAUUGUCUGUGAAGAUGCGGACUACGUGCACCCGGACAGAAAGACCCUAUGAAGCUUUACUGUAGCUUGGUAUUGUGCCCGGGCUCUGAAUGCGCAGGAUAGGUGGGAGGCUUUGAUCAUCGGCUUGCGGGUCGAUGUGAGCCAACGGUGAGAUACCACUCUUUCAGAGCUAGGGUUCUAACAGUCACCCGUUAUCCGGGGACUGGACAGUAUCAGGUGGGCAGUUUGACUGGGGCGGUCGCCUCCUAAAAGGUAACGGAGGCGCGCAAAGGUCUGCUCAGGCUGGUUGGAAAUCAGCCGACGAGUGUAAAAGCAGAAGCAGGCUUGACUGUGAGACCUACAAGUCGAACAGGGAGGAAACUCGGCUUUAGUGAUCCGACGGUUCUGCGUGGAAGGGCCGUCGCUCAACGGAUAAAAGUUACUCUAAGGAUAACAGGCUGAUCUCCCCCAAGAGUUCACAUCGACGGGGAGGUUUGGCACCUCGAUGUCGGCUCAUCGCAACCUGGGGCUGAAGUCGGUCCCAAGGGUUGGGCUGUUCGCCCAUUAAAGCGGUACGCGAGCUGGGUUCAGAACGCCGUGAGACAGUUCGGUCCAUAUCCGGUGCAUGCGCAGGAAUAUUGAGAGGAGUUCUCCCUAGUACGAGAGGACCGGGAGGAACGCACCUCUGGUGUACCAGUUAUCGUGCCAACGGUAAACGCUGGGUAGCCAUGUGCGGAGAGGAUAACCGCUGAAAGCAUCUAAGUGGGAAGCCCACCUCAAGAUGAGUAUUCCCAUGGCGUUAGCCAGUAAGGUCACGGGAAGAACACCCGUUGAUAGGCUCUAUGUGGAAGCGCAGUAAUGCGUGAAGCAGAGGAGUACUAAUAGACCGAGGGCUUGAC